UUGGCACAAUGGGCGCAAGCCUGAUGCAGCCAUGCCGCGUGUAUGAAGAAGGCCUUCGGGUUGUAAAGUACUUUCAGCAGUGAGGAAGGCGGGUACGUUAAUAGCGUGCUCGUUUGACGUUAGCUGCAGAAGAAGCACCGGCUAACUCCGUGCCAGCAGCCGCGGUAAUACGGAGGGUGCGAGCGUUAAUCGGAAUUACUGGGCGUAAAGCGCAUGCAGGUGGUUUGUUAAGUCAGAUGUGAAAGCCCGGGGCUCAACCUCGGAAUUGCAUUUGAAACUGGCAGACUAGAGUACUGUAGAGGGGGUAGAAUUUCAGGUGUAGCGGUGAAAAUGCGUAGAGAUCUGAAGGAAUACCGGUGGCGAAGGCGGCCCCCUGGACAGAUACUGACACUCAGAUGCGAAAGCGUGGGGAGCAAACAGGAUUAGAUACCCUGGUAG
RNAcentral lists this ribosomal RNA (438 nucleotides) under uncultured bacterium. RNAcentral describes it as "bacterial SSU rRNA". It matches the Rfam family "Bacterial small subunit ribosomal RNA", at positions 363 to 793 of the family's 1533-position model. The record is from RNAcentral.